RNAcentral lists this non-coding RNA (227 nucleotides) under Astyanax mexicanus (Mexican tetra). RNAcentral's name for it is "Eukaryotic large subunit ribosomal RNA". It matches the Rfam family "Eukaryotic large subunit ribosomal RNA", at positions 2425 to 2620 of the family's 3401-position model. Lineage: Eukaryota; Metazoa; Chordata; Actinopteri; Characiformes; Acestrorhamphidae. The record is from Rfam by way of RNAcentral.
ACUCUAGUCUGGCACUGUGAAGAGACAUGAGGGGUGUAGAAUAAGUGGGAGGCCCCGCUCGUCGGGUGCCGCCAGUGAAAUACCACUACUCUUAUCGUUUCCUCACUAACCCGGUGAGGCGGGGAGGCGGGCCCCCGGCGGGCUCUCGCUUCUGGCGUCAAGCGCUCCGGGGCCCGCGAGGGUCUCGGGGCCGCGACCCGCUCCGGGGACAGUGGCAGGUGGGGAGU